GACGAACGCUGGCGGCGUGCCUAAUACAUGCAAGUAGAACGCUGAAGAGAGGAGCUUGCUCUUCUUGGAUGAGUUGCGAACGGGUGAGUAACGCGUAGGUAACCUGCCUGGUAGCGGGGGAUAACUAUUGGAAACGAUAGCUAAUACCGCAUAAUAUUGACUAUUGCAUGAUAGUUGAUUAAAAGGUGCAAUUGCACCACUACCAGAUGGACCUGCGUUGUAUUAGCUAGUUGGUGGGGUAACGGCUCACCAAGGCGACGAUACAUAGCCGACCCGAGAGGGUGAUCGGCCACACUGGGACUGAGACACGGCCCAGACUCCUACGGGAGGCAGCAGUAGGGAAUCUUCGGCAAUGGACGGAAGUCUGACCGAGCAACGCCGCGUGAGUGAAGAAGGUUUUCGGAUCGUAAAGCUCUGUUGUAAGAGAAGAACGAGUGUGAGAGUGGAAAGUUCACAACUGUGACGGUAUCUACCCA
Molecule: ribosomal RNA, 476 nt
Filed under: Streptococcus sp. oral taxon 058
Lineage: Bacteria; Bacillati; Bacillota; Bacilli; Lactobacillales; Streptococcaceae
Description: bacterial SSU rRNA
Rfam family: Bacterial small subunit ribosomal RNA
Source: RNAcentral